Long non-coding RNA from Pundamilia nyererei, 2648 nucleotides. RefSeq lists it as uncharacterized. NCBI's taxonomy places the organism in Eukaryota, Metazoa, Chordata, Actinopteri, Cichliformes, Cichlidae. The record is from RefSeq and is a predicted model, not a curated record. The transcript has 4 exons.
CGCAACAUCACCGCAUACUGUCAUCCGAGGCUGGUGAGAAGAAAGCAGGAGGAUGCUGGCAGCAGUAUCACCUCGGCCUUGGCUUGUGUCGAUGCAGAAGUAAUGGCAGUGAUUUUUUUUUAAAGAAAGGAAAAAAAGAAAAGAAAGUCAUGAAAAGGAAAAAAAGAAAAACCACACUUCUUUGGGUUUGGAUCAACUCAUUGUGUAGAUUUACUCUCAAUCUGCGAAGGCUUGUUCAUCGAUUGGCUGGACUUUGGGCUCUUAGAGUUUGGUUGCACUUGAGAGAUGGCCGAUAGAAACUUGAAUUAACGCACUGAAUGGACUUCAGCUGGAGAUGUGGGAUUUACUGAGUACACAGCUUGAAUCUGCGCAGUGCAGAGUGAUGGCAGUCACACAGAAAUUCACAGACCUCACCAGCAGGCCUGCGCCUGGACCUACAGGACAGCAGAAGGUCAGAAGGGAAACAGCAGCCUCCUGCCCCGAGGAGCAAAGGUCACUGACUGGGUCAGGAUGAGGCUUCAUCACUGUAGUGCAGAGGAAGAGGAGAAGGAGGAGGAGGCAGUGGAGAACGAAAAAGAGAAGCAGAGUGGGUGGAAGAAUGGAAAAAGAGAAGGAUAGAAGCAGUUCGAGGAGGUGGUAUCGAAGCGGGUGAACCCAGAGCAGGUGAACACAGCUGUGGAUCGCCAUGGGCUCUCUGGCUGCCUUCCUCCUGUGGCCCCGGUGCUGCAUACAGGGGUCCCGGUGAACCAGCAGGGGCCAGCCAAAGCUGCGGCAGAGUGGGCAGGCUAGGCCAGCCAAGCCAGGAGAGAGGCAGGUGAGGCGGGUGAGCCGAGCUCUCAUUCCCGCCGGCUACGAGCCUCCUCGGCAGAGUGGAGCAGCGCGGAGUAGCAGAAAUCAAUACAGAGGAGAGAGGCUAGCAGAGGUUGCCCAGCACCGCCUGCAGGCCUCGGAGCCCAGGGACCAACCACCACUGCUCCCAGCUCCUCUUUCCAUCUCUCUUUCUAUCUUUCUCCAGCAGUCCCACCACCAUCUAGGGCCAGGGCCCUAACCUUGGAAGUGCCCCACACGCUGUGUGUGUGUGUGUGUCAGUGCACGCACAUGUGUGUGUGAAACAGAGAAAAGGGAAAGGGAAGAGACAGAGAAGCAGUCUUUGUGUGUGGUUCAGCUGGAGGGUUUUUACUUGGUCCAACACCACUUCAUAAAACUUUGUCAGAGAGACGUGGAGACAGCAGGAGAGGCAGAGAAGAAGAAUGAGACAGGACGUCGAAGGUCUCUUUUCUUCCACCUGCCUCCCUCUUAUUACUCAUUCCAUCUUAACCGUUUGAAUAAGGAUCUGUCUGAGCAACCUGCUCAGUCCCACUUCCCAGCACAAUAUUCCUAAGAUCUCAUGAGCCAGGAUGAAAGGACAAUUUGAACUUUUUCUCUCAUCCGCUAUAUCAGACACAACCUGUCUUUUCGUCUUAGAUUUUCUUACCCUCACUACAGCAGCUCCCAUAAGAGGAUAUGGCAGUGCAGUAUUGAUCUAUAAGGUGGAAGAGAGGAAGGCGGGCCUGGGCUUUCAUACCUCUCUCUCACUAUGUGUGGGGAAAUAGCACCUGAAGUCCACUUACCGCUGUGCAGCAGGGAUCCCAUGGCAGCACAAGUGAAUGGCUGCUAAUUGAAUGAGAGAUGAAAAAGACAGUAGUUUUAAAAGUGCCAUGCCCUCAAUCGUCUGCCUUCGUUUUCAUCUGACUUUUUGUCUCCUCCACGUACGCAAAAGUCCUUCCCCACACAGACACUCACUAUUCAGAUGUUUAAGCUAAAUUGCCAAAAUAAUCACAAAUGAAAAGCUGGUUUGACAUCAGUGUGAAUGUGCAGACCUUUGUACAAAAGAGGGGAGAAACAAGUCGAAUUUUUAUCCAGCGAUAGUGAGUGUCACGACACAAAAAGAUACUGUACAUGUCUGAGGGCUGGAAUGACACUAAAGGACAGGUGGAGAGUUUCCCAAGAAUGCAAAUGUGCGGUGAUUACGAUGGGAUUCUUAUUUCCUGAUGCAGUCAGAAAAGCCACCGUGAAGAUAAAAUUGACUCUUGAGCUUCCACCUGAAUAACAAAGCGUGCACGCUAUCUGUAGCCAAUUUCUUUGAACACGUUUAGCCUUGGCCACAUAUGGAAAAUGCCACCUCUACACCUGCAAGAGCAGUCACUUAGACACACAUCAUUAGAGUCUGAUUAUCCUCUGUCUAGGCGCUCGUCUUUGUGGAUGGUAACAGGUAAGUCAGUGCUGCUUCUAAAAGGUAAGUUUAGAGGUUGAAUCAAUUUAAGUGCUGUCUAAAGUGUAAAAUGGAGCUUCCGAACAAUAUUUUCCAAAAUUAGUUUCAUUAGAUAUGAAUUACUAUAUUUGAGACCAAUUUUAGGUCGGAGAUUGGAUGAGACCACAAGGGGUCUUUCUUUUUCACUCUGUAAUUUACAUUCAAGUAUUUGAUUGUAAAAUCAUUCAACGAGAGUUUGCUGUUGUUGAAUUACUUUCCUCUUUGCUGGUGCGACAUUAUGUACACAUGUAUAUUUAGAGAAUCUUUUUCUAUAAAGAAAUACGUUCAUCACAAAACACUGAACGAUAUUGCAAAAUGCCAAAAGUGUUGUUCUAAUGGGAUAUUCAUAUUUUGAAUA